UGAGGAAUAUUGGUCAAUGGACGGAAGUCUGAACCAGCCAAGUAGCGUGCAGGAUGACGGCCCUAUGGGUUGUAAACUGCUUUUGUAUGGGGAUAAAGUUAGGGACGUGUCCCUAUUUGCAGGUACCAUACGAAUAAGGACCGGCUAAUUCCGUGCCAGCAGCCGCGGUAAUACGGAAGGUCCAGGCGUUAUCCGGAUUUAUUGGGUUUAAAGGGAGCGUAGGCUGGAGAUUAAGUGUGUUGUGAAAUGUAGACGCUCAACGUCUGAAUUGCAGCGCAUACUGGUUUCCUUGAGUACGCACGACGUUGGCGGAAUUCGUCGUGUAGCGGUGAAAUGCUUAGAUAUGACGAAGAACUCCGAUUGCGAAGGCAGCUGACGGGAGCGCAACUGACGCUUAAGCUCGAAGGUGCGGGUAUCAAACAGGAUUAGAUACCCUGGUAGUCCGCACAGUAAACGAUGGAUGCCCGCUGUUGGUACCUGGUAUCAGCGGCUAAGCGAAAGCAUUAAGCAUCCCACCUGGGGAGUACGCCGGCAACGGUG
Molecule: ribosomal RNA, 540 nt
Filed under: uncultured bacterium
Lineage: Bacteria
Description: bacterial SSU rRNA
Rfam family: Bacterial small subunit ribosomal RNA
Source: RNAcentral